CAAACUAGAUACCCUAAGGAACAUUCAGUUAAAGUUUGGAAGUAUUUGGCCCAGUAGUUUCAGAGGAGAAGAUUUUUGUAAAAGAUUACUAAGAUUUACGAAAAAUGGUUAAAAAUUGACUAUAAAGGGCAAUUACUCCUAAAGGGGUCAACUGACCAUUUCCAUCAUGUUGACUUAUUUGUAAAUCUUACUUUGCUGAACAUUAUUCCUGUUUACAGUUUAUCUCUAUCUAUAAUAAUAUUCAAGAUAAUAACCAAAAAC
This 261-nucleotide long non-coding RNA is filed under the name Mytilus galloprovincialis (Mediterranean mussel). Lineage: Eukaryota; Metazoa; Mollusca; Bivalvia; Mytilida; Mytilidae. The record is from RNAcentral.